RNAcentral lists this long non-coding RNA (307 nucleotides) under Homo sapiens (human). RNAcentral describes it as "non-protein coding lnc-RNASEH2B-9:1". The record is from RNAcentral. Lineage: Eukaryota; Metazoa; Chordata; Mammalia; Primates; Hominidae.
CUUGGUGACUAUGAAUUAAACUAUUAUAAAUAUUAACAUAGAUGUUUUUAUGUGACUAUUAGUUUUAAUUUGCUUGAGUAAAUACCUAGGAGUGUUAGGUUGUGUGAUAAGUGUAUAUUUAACCUUAUAAGAAACUGUCCGUUUUCCAAAGUGACUGCAUGGUUUUGCAUUUUGACAAGUAAUGUAUAAGAGUUCUAGUUGAGUUGCUUUACAUCCUUGCUAACACUUAAUUUGGUCAGUUUUUAAUUGUUAGACAUUCUUACAGGUAUAUAGUGGAAUCUCACUGUUGCAGCAAGAGCACUGGUCU